AACGAACGCUGGCGGCAUGCCUAACACAUGCAAGUCGAACGAAGGCUUCGGCCUUAGUGGCGCACGGGUGCGUAAAGCGGGGGAAUCUGCCCUUUGGUUCGGAAUAACAGCUGGGGACGGCUGCUAAUACCGGGGGAUGACGAAAGUCCAAAGAUUUAUCGCCAGAGGAUGAGCCCGCGUUGGUUUGGGUAGUGGGUGGGGGAAAGGCCUGCCAAGCCGACGAUCCAUAGCUGGUCGGAGAGGAUGCUCAGCCGGACUGGGACUGAGACGCGGCCCCGACUGGGAGGCGAGGGAGGAGAGGGGAAUAUAGGACAAUGAGCGCAAGGCUGAUCCAGCAAUGCGGGGUGAGUGAUGAAGGGGUUAGGAUUGUAAAGCUCUUUGACCCGAGAAGUUAGUGACGGUACCGGGAGAAGAAGCACCGGCUAACUCCGUG
This 433-nucleotide ribosomal RNA is filed under the name uncultured bacterium. RNAcentral's name for it is "partial 16S ribosomal RNA". It matches the Rfam family "Bacterial small subunit ribosomal RNA", at positions 29 to 507 of the family's 1533-position model. The record is from RNAcentral.